CCGUUAGAAGAGGAGCAGGCACAGGGAGCUCCCUUCCUCCAGUGCCAUCCUCCAGGGUUGGACGGGGACUCUCAGUUCAUCAGGGCUGUACAAUCCCAAACCCCAUGGUGUUCUCUACAUGAUGCUGUUCUUUCUUGCUCACAUUGCACUUUAAGUGGCGGGGAACCACCAGCAGCACGAGCCUGCAAACACUGCCCUCUGGAGGGCCACCGUUGUCUCCAUCAAUGUGACAGCAGGAAGAGUGGACACUCAGUCUUCCUUCUGACUUUAAAUACUUCCUGUGCCAGCUGAACCUAGAUGAGCUGAGGAAAGGCCUCUGAUAGAAGAGAUGUUUCCACAAGUAAGCAAGACGCGGUGUGCAGCGAGGAUGGGGAUAUCACGGAGGAGCUCUCCACACGAGGGCUGAGGGAAGCAGGACUUGGUUAACCCCUUGGUGGACAGGAAAUGAUUGUGUCCUCUUUCCUGGACAUAGAAAGAAUGUAUAAACUAAUGAAGGAAAUGUUUAUUUUUAAAUAAGGAUGUUUUAGGUCUGUGUUUCAUAUUUGUUUUUUUUCUCAUACAAACGUUAGCAAUAUAAUGAAAUGUCUACUUUCCCAGUUUAAUUGCAGCUAUGAAGAGUGCAGUCUAGAAAUUAGGUUAAGUGUCUCUAAACCUUUCUUCCGUGUGUCAAGCAUAAUUAUAUUGAGAUAUAUUGUGUAGUCAUUUGGCUCAAAAAGGCUUAAUAGAGACACUAAUGAAAACUCACAGACUUUUACCAAGGAAGAUGGUUGAAGCCUGGGUGAGACAGCAGAGACUGGGCUGGUCUUCAAGAAUAAGCCUUCUGUGGGCAGAGCUGCUUUUCUGUUGAGGAAUACUUUCUAGUGACUUGGUCAGUGCAGCCUUCCUUAGAUCAGUAUCAGCCUAAGCUGAGGGAGUGACCUGAGAAGAGCAUUGUGUGUGGUAACUGGAGAUGCGUGGAACAAGCCUGAACUGUAAGAGGGCUGCACGCCUGUUCGCUAGCCCGUUUACUUUGUCUCACUGGUAUGCCUCAGAGCUGGCAAAGGCAGGAUGGUAAGAGAAGGGGCUGGGGCAGCUCAGGCUUCUGGGACCUCAUCCAGACCUUAACAGUUAAGACCUUGAACAGUCAUUUUACUCCUCAGAGCUGCUGUUGGCUGUUUACACAGAAUUAAUCUGGAUAGGUGCUCUGUGAGACAGCAGAAGCCUAGCAACAUUGUGCUACUGGUUUAGAAGGACUAUGAAGGAUGGUACAAUCCAGAUGUCCUUCAGGUAGCUUCUGUGCUCCUACCAUUCCUACAGCUUUCCUCAGCAUUUACUCAGACUUAGAAUGAGCAGUUAUAACCUUAUUGCUACUUGCUAGUUACCUGAAUAAAAGCCCACAUCAUCAAAAGCUUGAAGAUAGAUUUUCCUACUGUAAUAUUGGGUACACACAACCUUACCUGUUGCAGUAAAACAGAAUCCAGAGGUUUCUAUUAUUUUAAUCAUAUAAUCAGGGAUUUGUUGUUAAAAUAUGGACAAAUACCAUAUGCACAUUUUUUAUUUGAUCUUCUCUCUGAUGAAUAGAAGUAAUUACUGUACCAGAAAAUAUCACAAAUUGGUAUUCCCUGUAGAAAACCAAACCUAAUUCCCAAAGUUUCUGAAAAUAUGGUCCUCAAGAGGAGAUAUUUUAAAAUGUUCACCUCUAAGUAGCUUAAUCGUUACAAUGAUUUCUGAAGUAGACAUAUCAGAAAUAAAUCAUGUAACUGAAUGUUCCCUCCAGAACCAUCUGAUUUUGCUUGGGAAGUGAAUGGUGACCCUUGGCAGGCCAGUGGCAUCUGAGUUGUUUAAACUCUCGUUUUUAGAUAUAACAUCACCAGAUAAAAUAGCAAGGACGUGGUUGCAUUUUCCUAGUAGCCUCGCUCCCAGCAUAUUCUUUCUUAUGUGUUUCUCCCACGCCUCUGCCUUCGAGUAAGAUUGAGCUAUUCCAAAAGGCAGAACUACUGGGCGAGAUGAAGAGCAGUUACCAUUGAAGACAUGUGACAGCCACGGGCAAUUUCUAGAGAAGCCUUCAUAGCCAAGAGGGAUCACACCCUCACUUUAUGUAAGGGACAGUUUGCAGUCCCUGGUCUUUAGGGUAUUUAAAGACAACCCCUAAAGGAGGCUGUCAUUUACUCACAUUCCAUGUUGGACUUGGCUCUUUCUGAUCAGGUCAGAAUUCUAGAACUUGGAUCACUGAUAAUUGAAGAUUCAAUAUUUUUUAUGGUUUACAAUUCUCAUUUCCUAUGCUUUUCCUGAUAAGUGUUUGUUUUGAUUCAAACCAACAUAGCCUUCCACCAGGUGAUUAGUUCUGUCUUCAGCAGUGCUGUGGGAGUGAGGAGAUGGGGCUGGGGGUCCAUGCUUAGCUGAACAACCAAAUGCUGUGGACAUCUUGGACCAAGCUAAAGUCCCCAUGACAAGGCCUCUCUGGCUUCUGACGGUCUUUACCUUCCUGCUCUGUAAGGUGGUCCACAGUCUGUUGCCACUGACUGGAGUCUAGGGGAUGACAGACACUUCAGCAAAUGAGAGGCUGCUGGCGUAAGGGUUACAGUGGGGUUGUUGAGUGAGACACUUCAGAUACUGCUAGCUGAUUCAUAGCCCUCUCUAGAGACUCAUUUUACCAGUGCAAAAUUAGACCUUUCCUUUCCGUGAUGAUAAUGUUCCCCAAGUUAGAUGUACUUGGCUUUGUGGACUGAAUGGGUCCCAGUUGGCCUCCAUUUCAAAGUCUUUAACAAGAUAUCCUAUAUAUUUCCCCUGGGUUUCCUUUCUCUAAGGGGGAGGGUUGAGGCCUGUUGGCUGCCUGGGUAAUGCUACCUUAUGCAGAGUUCUCAAAGGAUUACAACGGUUGGUGGGAGGGAAGUCCUUCGUUGCUUCUCACUUCGAUGCAGUGUCCCAGAUUCACUCUCUGUGGGUAUUUUCCUCUGCCCUGUUGUACAUGCCUUUAUCACAUGGAUGGAUUCUUACCUUAGUCUAACUUGUCUUCCCCAGGGAAGCUAAGCAAAGUGAUGUAAUGAAGCUAUCUUGUGCAGUAAAAUGUGAAAAAUGAAUACUGCUUCGCAAGUAUUGUAUAAAAUAAGUCUGUAAACAAAUUUCUUAUGUAAACAUACAGAGGAAUAAAGCUUUUAUCUGUUCAAAC
This 3148-nucleotide long non-coding RNA is filed under the name Rattus norvegicus (Norway rat). Its description in RNAcentral is "long non-coding RNA NONRATT020675". The record is from RNAcentral. Lineage: Eukaryota; Metazoa; Chordata; Mammalia; Rodentia; Muridae.